UGGGGAAUAUUGCACAAUGGGCGCAAGCCUGAUGCAGCCAUGCCGCAUGUAUGAAGAAGGCCUUCGGGUUGUAAAGUACUUUCAGCGAGGAGGAAGGCGUUGUGGUUAAUAACCGCAGCGAUUGACGUUACUCGCAGAAGAAGCACCGGCUAACUCCGUGCCAGCAGCCGCGGUAAUACGGAGGGUGCAAGCGUUAAUCGGAAUUACUGGGCGUAAAGCGCACGCAGGCGGUCUGUCAAGUCGGAUGUGAAAUCCCCGGGCUCAACCUGGGAACUGCAUCCGAAACUGGCAGGCUAGAGUCUUGUAGAGGGGGGUAGAAUUCCAGGUGUAGCGGUGAAAUGCGUAGAGAUCUGGAGGAAUACCGGUGGCGAAGGCGGCCCCCUGGACAAAGACUGACGCUCAGGUGCGAAAGCGUGGGGAGCAAACA
This 427-nucleotide ribosomal RNA is filed under the name uncultured bacterium. RNAcentral's name for it is "partial 16S ribosomal RNA". It matches the Rfam family "Bacterial small subunit ribosomal RNA", at positions 355 to 774 of the family's 1533-position model. The record is from RNAcentral.